This 626-nucleotide ribosomal RNA is filed under the name uncultured bacterium. RNAcentral's name for it is "bacterial SSU rRNA". It matches the Rfam family "Bacterial small subunit ribosomal RNA", at positions 9 to 650 of the family's 1533-position model. The record is from RNAcentral.
GAGUUUGAUCCUGGCUCAGGACGAACGCUGGCGGCACGCCUAACACAUGCAAGUCGAACGGAGAUAUGAAGAUUUAUCGGAAUAUCUUAGCGGCGGACGGGUGAGUAACACGUGAGCAACCUGCCUUUGAGAGUGGAAUAGCUUCUGGAAACGGAUGGUAAUGCCUCAUAACAUACAAGAAUCGCAUGGUUUUUGUAUCAAAGAUUUAUCGCUCAAAGAUGGGCUCGCGUCUGAUUAGAUAGUUGGUGGGGUAACGGCUCACCAAGUCGACGAUCAGUAGCCGGACUGAGAGGUUGAACGGCCACAUUGGGACUGAGACACGGCCCAGACUCCUACGGGAGGCAGCAGUGGGGAAUAUUGCACAAUGGGGGAAACCCUGAUGCAGCGAUGCCGCGUGGAGGAAGAAGGUUUUCGGAUUGUAAACUCCCGUCUUAAAGGACGAAAAUGACGGUACUUUAGGAGGAAGCUCCGGCUAACUACGUGCCAGCAGCCGCGGUAAUACGUAGGGAGCGAGCGUUGUCCGGAAUUACUGGGUGUAAAGGGAGCGUAGGCGGGAUUUUAAGUCUGAUGUGAAAGCCCGGGGCUCAACCCCGGGACUGCAUUGGAAACUAUGUAACUAGAGUACC